AGCAUGAAGCUCACUAAAAUGUCAGAAUUCUCGUUGGAGUGUUAGACGCUAGCCAGAACUCAGAAGAAUCGGUUAAGAUUUCAUUUCAGCAUGUGGUCAAAAGUUUCAGCAAUUGAAUUGUUCAUCGACAAAUAUCCGUCCAAAUCAAUUUUUUAAUUUUGUUUCUCGAUUACCCAAUCAUCAUACCUGGGUGUUGUACCCUUGGCAACUUUACACGUGGUUAUAACCAGAUCGCAUGGGUGCAAGAAGUGACAAAAGUGUGACAUGGAAUUGUUUCGCUUUGGAUUGGAUUAUUCAAUCUCCCCCAAAAAGUAUAAGUGCUAAUGACAUGUGACAUUGUGUCUGUCAGGUGAUAUUCAUGGACCAUUCACAUUCCCAGUUUACAUCAAGUUCCUGGUUAAUUCAUACUAACCACAACUUCAGCUACCAAACAUCACUUUUAUGAUCAAAAUAUUUGUUGGAAACACAGGCUCUCUCGUGACUCAUGUUAUUGGCACCUCUAAAUUGUUCAGUGUUCAUCAUGAAGAUGUAGCAACUUGAAUUGUUUUCAACCACCCAAGGAACGGUUAGUAGUCUAAACAUUGAAAUUCCGUUAUCGCCCAUUUCGCCUUCUCGAAGAUGGAGACAGAUUCUUCCGAUACAGAUAAUGGUAAAAUUCGUCUCUCUUGGACAUUUUUUAUUUCAUCAUUAAUUUUACUGUUUUUUGUUUGUUUUGUUUUUAUUUUAUUUAUUGGCUCACUCUCUCAUAUGUGAUGGCCGAGCCCGCCGCAACGGCAGCGAAUCGUUGUCGACAGUCGAGUCCUAUUGUUCACCCUUGACUAGCGAAUGAGGCUUCCGUGGAGAGAGUAUUUGUCUAAUGUGCAACAAAACAAUAUGGGUAACGGCAGCGGAAGCAGCAACGCUCCCAUCUCAACAGCCAGGAGCGCCGGAUAGCGGAGUACCACCAAGACCGAACUCUUUAUCGUCUCUGGCUUUCGACUAUGGUGGAAAAUAUCACCCAUUUCUUUUCCCGACGCGGAAUCAAUUCAACUGAUUCGGCCGAUGUGACUUCUACUUCACAACCACCACCAGCAACGACGACAACAUCGGUAGCCGGCAGUAACGUCAGAUGAUUUCCAGGAACUCCACCCAGGCCUGGACCUUUGGCUGUUCCCCGGUCAUUCCCUCGCGUUUCUCCAACGCGAUGAGAGGCGAAGGAUUUGUGGCUGCGGUAGAGAAAAGGCUCACUUCGCCGACUAUUGGUAGUCCCCGUAAUGCCCCGCCACCUUGGAGGAUUUUCCCGCGUGUCGGACAUGUUAUGGGAGGUGGAACUGGAGCUGCCAGAAUUGCUUCCGGAGUAGCCGAACAAGGCCCAGGGCAACAAUGCUGUACUCUUCGCCGGAAUGCGAAAUCACAAAUGUCACUCAGCGCUCAUCUGACGUACCGAAUUCAGGCCUGGGAUUUCUGCGCGAAAGACAAAUACAUCCCCGACAUCCGCGAUCCUUAGGCCAACAUUGUCCUUCCCGAAUGCAAAAUCCACAAUGACGCCAGUGUCGAUGUUUCAGCUUAUGGCCGGUUUCUCGUUACGCUCGUCCUUUCCACUUCAUUCACUGGAACUCUCAUUAGUCUGCAUAUUUUAGAACCGUCUCGUUGGGGCAUGUGUCUUUCACGAGUGAAUGUCGACCAGUUGUCCUUCAGCAUUUCACCAACAACCACUUUCUGGGGAAACCAUUUUGAUUCACUUCCAAUGACCUUUCCCACUUGUUCCUAUUUGAUUCAUUUCUCAUUUAUCUCCGUAUUCGUAGGAUUCAAUAUUCGAACAAUGUUGAGCUGUCUUCAAAUUUGAAAGCAAUCCAGUCGUUCCGUUCA
Molecule: long non-coding RNA, 1848 nt
Filed under: Daphnia pulex (common water flea)
Lineage: Eukaryota; Metazoa; Arthropoda; Branchiopoda; Diplostraca; Daphniidae
Description: uncharacterized LOC124195397, transcript variant X3
Source: RNAcentral